Pelmatolapia mariae (spotted tilapia) is the source of this 1289-nucleotide long non-coding RNA. RefSeq lists it as uncharacterized. NCBI's taxonomy places the organism in Eukaryota, Metazoa, Chordata, Actinopteri, Cichliformes, Cichlidae. The record is from RefSeq and is a predicted model, not a curated record. The transcript is spliced from 3 exons.
CUCAGAUCAGCGUGAACCACGUGGGUCUCUGCUCCCUGAUCUGUUUCUUAAGACUUUCAGCUUCAUCGCGGAGUUUCUCUCGGUUUGUGGGCUCAUCUAAAGGGGUAAACUACGUCUAUAUACUUUUUGUGUCCCAGCUGAGUAACAGCAGAAGAGUCUGGUGGAGCAACAGAGGAACAAUUUCAGCCAUUUGGACUCAGCUCACCCACUACAGAGGAAACAAUGUCUUUAACACAAAAGGACCAACAUGGAGGGAGAAGUCAGCGCUCUCAGGAGGCCGACAAACCUCGCAGAAGAAAGGGAAAGAAAACCUACAGCUGUGAUGAGUGUGGGAAGGAUUUUUCCCGGACGGACAGCCUAAAAACACACCAACUCAUCCACAGUGGAGUUAAACCUUACAGCUGUGAAUUGUGUGGAAAGUCUUUUUACCUGGCUCGAAUCUUAAAAAAACACCAAAUCAUCCACAGUGAAGUUAAACCUUACAGCUGUGACUUGUGUGGAAAGUCUUUUACUGAGGCUGGAAGCUUAAAAAUACACCAAAUCAUCCACAGUGGAGUUAAACCUUACAGCUGUGACUUGUGUGGGAAGGAUUUUGCCCGGGCUCAAGGCUUAAAAAUACACCAACUCACCCACAGUGGAGUUAAAGCAUACAGCUGUGACUUGUGUGGAAAGUCUUUUACCCGGGCUGAAAGCUUAAAAUCACACAAACGCAUCCACAGUGGAGUUAAACCUUACAGCUGUGACUUCUGUGGAAAGUCUUUUACCCACUCUCAAACCUUUAAAACACACCAAAGCGUCCACAGUGAAGUUAAACCUUACAGCUGUGACUUGUGUGGAAAGUCUUUUUCCCUGGCUGGAAACUUAAAAACACACCAACUCAUCCACAGUGGAGUUAAAGCACACAGCUGUGAGUUGUGUGGUAAAGCUUUUACUCAAAAUUGCGACUUACAGAAGCAUCUAGUUACCCACUCUGGAAUUAAGGCGUACAGCUGCGACUUUUGUGGAAAAAGUUUCAGCGACAAACACUACCGAAAUAGUCACCGUCGGAUUCACACUGGAAAUGAUCUUUACUGCUGUGAUCAGUGUGGGAAACUAUUUAUAAAAGCUGCACAGUUAAAACUACACAUGUUUAGCCACACUGAGGAGCGACCUUAUAAAUGUGACCUGUGUGAGAAGACUUUUAAAUCUCCACAUCACCUGAAAAACCACCGAAAGUAUCACACCAGAAAAUAACUCUACAAGUGCAGUUACUGUGAGGAUGUAUUCAAUUUUUAUCUUGUAAUUGUAAC